Petromyzon marinus (sea lamprey) is the source of this 382-nucleotide non-coding RNA. NCBI's taxonomy places the organism in Eukaryota, Metazoa, Chordata, Hyperoartia, Petromyzontiformes, Petromyzontidae. The record is from RefSeq and is a predicted model, not a curated record.
GCAUCCUGGAAACAUCGACCCAACUGACCCCUUUAUAACGUACGCUACGGGCCCCGCACGAGCUUCAUCCGGCACUGGAGGCACAGCAACGCGCCGGCCACAGACGAACCGUGCAAUCACUUCGCUGAGCUCGUCAUCGGAGGAGCCGACGGUGUGCAAGUCUGCCGUAUAGGAUACGAGCCACUGGUCUCAGCUUUUCCCAUCAUCAAUGUCCUAAAGUAAAAUGUGCAGCCCUGCAGUUGCUUAGUCAAGCCACUGCUGGCAGAAGGGGCCUCCGCUAGGAACGAGCUCUUGAGAGCCCCGCUCGAGUUGGUGGUUUGGCCUACUCUUCCACUCUGGACAGACGUCUUGGAAGAGGUGGGCGAGAAACCCACGGGUUACC